GGAAUAUUGGACAAUGGGCGAAAGCCUGAUCCAGCAAUGCCGCGUGAGUGAUGAAGGCCUUAGGGUUGUAAAGCUCUUUUACCCGGGAUGAUAAUGACAGUACCGGGAGAAUAAGCUCCGGCUAACUCCGUGCCAGCAGCCGCGGGAAUACGGAGGGAGCUAGCGUUGUUCGGAAUUACUGGGCGUAAAGAGUACGUAGGCGGUGAUUCAAGUCAGAGGUGAAAGCCUGGAGCUCAACUCCAGAACUGCCUUUGAAACUAGAUCGCUAGAAUCAUGGAGAGGUGAGUGGAAUUCCGAGUGUAGAGGUGAAAUUCGUAGAUAUUCGGAAGAACACCAGUGGCGAAGGCGACUCACUGGACAUGUAUUGACGCUGAGGUACGAAAGCGUGGGGAGCAA
This 396-nucleotide ribosomal RNA is filed under the name uncultured bacterium. RNAcentral's name for it is "bacterial SSU rRNA". It matches the Rfam family "Bacterial small subunit ribosomal RNA", at positions 358 to 771 of the family's 1533-position model. The record is from RNAcentral.